GGUUAAGCGACUAAGCGUACACGGUGGAUGCCCUGGCAGUCAGAGGCGAUGAAGGACGUGCUAAUCUGCGAUAAGCGUCGGUAAGGUGAUAUGAACCGUUAUAACCGGCGAUUUCCGAAUGGGGAAACCCAGUGUGAUUCGUCACACUAUCAUUAACUGAAUCCAUAGGUUAAUGAGGCGAACCGGGGGAACUGAAACAUCUAAGUACCCCGAGGAAAAGAAAUCAACCGAGAUUCCCCCAGUAGCGGCGAGCGAACGGGGAGCAGCCCAGAGCCUGAAUCAGUGUGUGUGUUAGUGGAAGCGUCUGGAAAGGCGCGCGAUACAGGGUGACAGCCCCGUACACAAAAAUGCACAUGCUGUGAGCUCGAUGAGUAGGGCGGGACACGUGGUAUCCUGUCUGAAUAUGGGGGGACCAUCCUCCAAGGCUAAAUACUCCUGACUGACCGAUAGUGAACCAGUACCGUGAGGGAAAGGCGAAAAGAACCCCGGCGAGGGGAGUGAAAAAGAACCUGAAACCGUGUACGUACAAGCAGUGGGAGCACAGAGCAAUCUGUGUGACUGCGUACCUUUUGUAUAAUGGGUCAGCGACUUAUAUUCUGUAGCAAGGUUAACCGAAUAGGGGAGCCGAAGGGAAACCGAGUCUUAACUGGGCGUUAAGUUGCAGGGUAUAGACCCGAAACCCGGUGAUCUAGCCAUGGGCAGGUUGAAGGUUGGGUAACACUAACUGGAGGACCGAACCGACUAAUGUUGAAAAAUUAGCGGAUGACUUGUGGCUGGGGGUGAAAGGCCAAUCAAACCGGGAGAUAGCUGGUUCUCCCCGAAAGCUAUUUAGGUAGCGCCUCGUGAAUUCAUCUCCGGGGGUAGAGCACUGUUUCGGCAAGGGGGUCAUCCCGACUUACCAACCCGAUGCAAACUGCGAAUACCGGAGAAUGUUAUCACGGGAGACACACGGCGGGUGCUAACGUCCGUCGUGAAGAGGGAAACAACCCAGACCGCCAGCUAAGGUCCCAAAGUCAUGGUUAAGUGGGAAACGAUGUGGGAAGGCCCAGACAGCCAGGAUGUUGGCUUAGAAGCAGCCAUCAUUUAAAGAAAGCGUAAUAGCUCACUGGUCGAGUCGGCCUGCGCGGAAGAUGUAACGGGGCUAAACCAUGCACCGAAGCUGCGGCAGCGACGCUGAUGCGUUGUUGGGUAGGGGAGCGUUCUGUAAGCCUGCGAAGGUGUGCUGUGAGGCAUGCUGGAGGUAUCAGAAGUGCGAAUGCUGACAUAAGUAACGAUAAAGCGGGUGAAAAGCCCGCUCGCCGGAAGACCAAGGGUUCCUGUCCAACGUUAAUCGGGGCAGGGUGAGUCGACCCCUAAGGCGAGGCCGAAAGGCGUAGUCGAUGGGAAACAGGUUAAUAUUCCUGUACUUGGUGUUACUGCGAAGGGGGGACGGAGAAGGCUAUGUUGGCCGGGCGACGGUUGUCCCGGUUUAAGCGUGUAGGCUGGUUUUCCAGGCAAAUCCGGAAAAUCAAGGCUGAGGCGUGAUGACGAGGCACUACGGUGCUGAAGCAACAAAUGCCCUGCUUCCAGGAAAAGCCUCUAAGCAUCAGGUAACAUCAAAUCGUACCCCAAACCGACACAGGUGGUCAGGUAGAGAAUACCAAGGCGCUUGAGAGAACUCGGGUGAAGGAACUAGGCAAAAUGGUGCCGUAACUUCGGGAGAAGGCACGCUGAUAUGUAGGUGAAGUCCCUCGCGGAUGGAGCUGAAAUCAGUCGAAGAUACCAGCUGGCUGCAACUGUUUAUUAAAAACACAGCACUGUGCAAACACGAAAGUGGACGUAUACGGUGUGACGCCUGCCCGGUGCCGGAAGGUUAAUUGAUGGGGUCAGCGCAAGCGAAGCUCUUGAUCGAAGCCCCGGUAAACGGCGGCCGUAACUAUAACGGUCCUAAGGUAGCGAAAUUCCUUGUCGGGUAAGUUCCGACCUGCACGAAUGGCGUAAUGAUGGCCAGGCUGUCUCCACCCGAGACUCAGUGAAAUUGAACUCGCUGUGAAGAUGCAGUGUACCCGCGGCAAGACGGAAAGACCCCGUGAACCUUUACUAUAGCUUGACACUGAACAUUGAGCCUUGAUGUGUAGGAUAGGUGGGAGGCUUUGAAGUGUGGACGCCAGUCUGCAUGGAGCCGACCUUGAAAUACCACCCUUUAAUGUUUGAUGUUCUAACGUUGACCCGUAAUCCGGGUUGCGGACAGUGUCUGGUGGGUAGUUUGACUGGGGCGGUCUCCUCCUAAAGAGUAACGGAGGAGCACGAAGGUUGGCUAAUCCUGGUCGGACAUCAGGAGGUUAGUGCAAUGGCAUAAGCCAGCUUGACUGCGAGCGUGACGGCGCGAGCAGGUGCGAAAGCAGGUCAUAGUGAUCCGGUGGUUCUGAAUGGAAGGGCCAUCGCUCAACGGAUAAAAGGUACUCCGGGGAUAACAGGCUGAUACCGCCCAAGAGUUCAUAUCGACGGCGGUGUUUGGCACCUCGAUGUCGGCUCAUCACAUCCUGGGGCUGAAGUAGGUCCCAAGGGUAUGGCUGUUCGCCAUUUAAAGUGGUACGCGAGCUGGGUUUAGAACGUCGUGAGACAGUUCGGUCCCUAUCUGCCGUGGGCGCUGGAGAACUGAGGGGGGCUGCUCCUAGUACGAGAGGACCGGAGUGGACGCAUCACUGGUGUUCGGGUUGUCAUGCCAAUGGCACUGCCCGGUAGCUAAAUGCGGAAGAGAUAAGUGCUGAAAGCAUCUAAGCACGAAACUUGCCCCGAGAUGAGUUCUCCCUGACUCCUUGAGAGUCCUGAAGGAACGUUGAAGACGACGACGUUGAUAGGCCGGAUGUGUAAGCGCAGCGAUGCGUUGAGCUAACCGGUACUAAUGAACCGUGAGGCUUAACCUU
RNAcentral lists this ribosomal RNA (2906 nucleotides) under Escherichia coli. RNAcentral's name for it is "23S ribosomal RNA". It matches the Rfam family "Bacterial large subunit ribosomal RNA". Lineage: Bacteria; Pseudomonadati; Pseudomonadota; Gammaproteobacteria; Enterobacterales; Enterobacteriaceae. The record is from RNAcentral.